UACGUAGGGAGCAAGCGUUAUCCGGAUUUACUGGGUGUAAAGGGAGCGUAGACGGCAGGGCAAGUCUGGAGUGAAAGGCAGGGGCCCAACCCCUGGACUGCUCUGGAAACUGUCCGGCUGGAGUGCAGGAGAGGUAAGUGGGAUUCCUAGUGUAGCGGUGAAAUGCGUAGAUAUUAGGAGGAACACCAGUGGCGAAGGCGGCUUACUGGACUGUAACUGACGUUGAGGCUCGAAAGCGUGGGGAGCAAACAGG
This 253-nucleotide ribosomal RNA is filed under the name uncultured bacterium. RNAcentral describes it as "partial 16S ribosomal RNA". It matches the Rfam family "Bacterial small subunit ribosomal RNA", at positions 524 to 776 of the family's 1533-position model. The record is from RNAcentral.